GUGCACGCUGGCGGUAGGCCUAACACCUGCAAGUCGCACGGCAGCACAGUAAGAGCUUGCUCUUACGGGUGGCGAGUGGCGGACGGGUGAGGAAUACAUCGGAAUCUACUUUUUCGUGGGGGAUAACGUAGGGAAACUUACGCUAAUACCGCAUACGACCUACGGGUGAAAGCAGGGGAUCUUCGGACCUUGCGCGAUUGAAUGAGCCGAUGUCGGAUUAGCUAGUUGGCGGGGUAAAGGCCCACCAAGGCGACGAUCCGUAGCUGGUCUGAGAGGAUGAUCAGCCACACUGGAACUGAGACACGGUCCAGACUCCUACGGGAGGCAGCAGUGGGGAAUAUUGGACAAUGGGCGCAAGCCUGAUCCAGCCAUACCGCGUGGGUGAAGAGGGCCUUCGGGUUGUAAAGCCCUUUUGUUGGGAAAGAAAAGCAGCAGGUUAAUACCCCGCUGUUCUGACGGUACCCAAAGAAUAAGCACCGGCUAACUUCGUG
Molecule: ribosomal RNA, 491 nt
Filed under: uncultured bacterium
Lineage: Bacteria
Description: partial 16S ribosomal RNA
Rfam family: Bacterial small subunit ribosomal RNA
Source: RNAcentral